This 912-nucleotide ribosomal RNA is filed under the name Tolypocladium inflatum. RNAcentral's name for it is "LSU rRNA". It matches the Rfam family "Eukaryotic large subunit ribosomal RNA", at positions 38 to 979 of the family's 3401-position model. The record is from RNAcentral. Lineage: Eukaryota; Fungi; Ascomycota; Sordariomycetes; Hypocreales; Ophiocordycipitaceae.
GCAUAUCAAUAAGCGGAGGAAAAGAAACCAACAGGGAUUGCCCCAGUAACGGCGAGUGAAGCGGCAACAGCUCAAAUUUGAAAUCUGGCCCCCAGGGCCCGAGUUGUAAUUUGCAGAGGAUGCUUUUGGCGCGGCGCCUUCCGAGUUCCCUGGAACGGGACGCCAUAGAGGGUGAGAGCCCCGUCUGGUCGGACGCCAAGCCAGUGUAAAGCUCCUUCGACGAGUCGAGUAGUUUGGGAAUGCUGCUCUAAAUGGGAGGUAUAUGUCUUCUAAAGCUAAAUAUAGGCCAGAGACCGAUAGCGCACAAGUAGAGUGAUCGAAAGAUGAAAAGCACUUUGAAAAGAGGGUUAAACAGUACGUGAAAUUGUUGAAAGGGAAGCACUUGUGACCAGACUUGGGCCCGGUGAAUCAUCCAGCGUUCUCGCUGGUGCACUUCGCCGGGCCCAGGCCAGCAUCAGUUCGCCGCGGGGGAUAAAAGCUUCGGGAACGUAGCUCCCUCGGGAGUGUUAUAGCCCGUUGCAUAAUACCCUGCGGUGGACUGAGGUUCGCGCUCCGCAAGGAUGCUGGCGUAAUGGUCACCAGUGACCCGUCUUGAAACACGGACCAAGGAGUCGUCUUCGUAUGCGAGUGUUCGGGUGUCAAACCCCUACGCGUAAUGAAAGUGAACGCAGGUGAGAGCUUCGGCGCAUCAUCGACCGAUCCUGAUGUUCUCGGAUGGAUUUGAGUAAGAGCAUACGGGGCCGGACCCGAAAGAAGGUGAACUAUGCCUGUAUAGGGUGAAGCCAGAGGAAACUCUGGUGGAGGCUCGCAGCGGUUCUGACGUGCAAAUCGAUCGUCAAAUAUGGGCAUGGGGGGCGAAAGACUAAUCGAACCUUCUAGUAGCUGGUUUCCGCCGAAGUUNCCCCUCAGGAA